AACGAACGCUGGCGGCAGGCCUAACACAUGCAAGUCGAACGCCGUAGCAAUACGGAGUGGCAGACGGGUGAGUAACGCGUGGGAACAUACCCUUCGGUUCGGAAUAACUCAGGGAAACUUGUGCUAAUACCGGAUACGUCCGCAAGGAGAAAGAUUUAUCGCCGAAGGAUUGGCCCGCGUCUGAUUAGCUAGUUGGUGAGGUAAUGGCUCACCAAGGCGACGAUCAGUAGCUGGUCUGAGAGGAUGAUCAGCCACAUUGGGACUGAGACACGGCCCAAACUCCUACGGGUGGCAGCCUGAGACCCAAGGCACACAGGGGAUAGG
RNAcentral lists this ribosomal RNA (324 nucleotides) under uncultured Pseudomonadota bacterium. RNAcentral describes it as "bacterial SSU rRNA". It matches the Rfam family "Bacterial small subunit ribosomal RNA", at positions 29 to 381 of the family's 1533-position model. The record is from RNAcentral. Lineage: Bacteria; Pseudomonadati; Pseudomonadota.